RNAcentral lists this ribosomal RNA (259 nucleotides) under uncultured eukaryote. Its description in RNAcentral is "partial large subunit ribosomal RNA". The record is from RNAcentral.
AUAUUAUUCAGCGGAGGAAGAGAAAACAACCGUGAUUCCCUCAGUCAGGGGCGACCGAACAGGGACCGGACUCGUUGCCGAAUCAGGCUCUUAAAAGGGUUUGAGUUGUGGCACAAACGCCGAUUAGUGGUUGGUUUAACAGACUGGUGAAAUUCAAUGUGCAAAGCAGACCCCUUGCUGGAUCCAACCUCUCAUGUGAGUAUUGAGCCCAAGCCCGGUGGUAGCCCGUUGAGCCAGAAACUGUAGCCUCAUGAAACGG